GGGAAUGAAUCCCUAUUUUACAUGUUGAUUAUCUUAGGAGGAACCUGCCUUUUUAACUAGUUUUCAGAGCAUAGGACUAAACUGUCAUUUUAUAGCAUAAAAAAAUUGAUACAUAAUAUUUUACAUAUUUAUAGGGUACAUGCGAUGUUUUGUUAUAUGCUGUUCUCUAACUAACAUUUUUUAAACUGGGAGUAGGUUUGUCUGCCAUUGUGGAUUUCCUGGGCAGAGUGGAGUGAAGGUGCCAAAAGCCAAGAAGACACUGAGGCAGUCUUUAAGAAAGCUCUCUUAGCUGUCAUAGGUGCCGACUCAGUAACCCUGAAGAAUAAGUACCUGGAUUGGGCUUAUCGAAGUGGUGGCUACAAAAAGGCCAGAGCUGUGUUUAAAAGUUUACAGGAGAGCCGACCAUUUUCAGUUGACUUUUUCAGGAAAAUGAUUCAGUUUGAAAAGGAGCAAGAAUCCUGCAAUAUGGCGAACAUAAGAGAAUAUUAUGAGAGAGCUUUGAGAGAGUUUGGAUCCGCAGAUUCUGAUCUUUGGAUGGAUUAUAUGAAAGAAGAAUUGAACCACCCCCUUGGUAGACCUGAGAACUGUGGACAGAUCUACUGGCGAGCGAUGAAAAUGUUGCAGGGAGAGUCAGCAGAGGCAUUUGUAGCUAAACAUGCUAUGCAUCAGACUGGCCAUUUAUGAAGAUGAACAA
This 694-nucleotide small RNA is filed under the name Pan troglodytes (chimpanzee). Its description in RNAcentral is "retained intron". Lineage: Eukaryota; Metazoa; Chordata; Mammalia; Primates; Hominidae. The record is from RNAcentral.